UCAGCUAACAGAUGUGCAGGAAUGUCCUCGGCUCGCCAUCGCUUUUCUCUCCAGCAGAAUAUGACUGACAACAGAACACCAGGGAACAGCUGGGUCGAAACGCAUAAUAUUUUCCUGCUAGAGAAGGAUGCUGAUUAGGCUGCGGAGUACCUAAUUGGGUCUUGGCCUUGAAUGAUGGAAAACUAAAGCCAGGAGGAGCACACCAAUGAGCAGCACCAUGUUACCAGCAGAGGUUCGGUGGCUGGAGGAGCGGAACAUUAGCACAUCCCUAAGGCCAGGAAGUUCAUAUGAAGUUUCUGAACCUCCACUUCGGCCCUUAGGGAGAAACAGCCCGGAAAUAAGGUGAAAGUGUUCUGAAAGAAACGAGGAAAUCUCAAAAGGGAAAAAAAAAAAUAGCACAUUAUAGAAAUACUGGUAAAUAAAAUAUAACCAACGAGCAGCAUGGGAAGCAGGUUUAACCCACUACACACCAGCUUUCCUGUAGUGCUAGCCAACUGAAUGCUGAAUGUAGAAUAUCAAGUAUUAUGGCUUAUAUGUAUUACUGCCAUAAAGUGUGAUACGAACAUGAAUCAAUUAAAUUAGAGGAAAAAAUAGUGCACAAAGAACAAAUGUAUGAAGUCAUUGCUCUUUGAGUCCUUUGUAAUAGCUGACCCUGAUGAAAAAUAAAAUAAAAUAACAUAAGGGCAGAGAUUCAACAAGAAAAACAACAUCAAUAUUUAAAAAGUUAGAUUUUGGAAAACUGUUGUGGCUCAAGGGGCUUUUGUUGUACAAUUCUGCAUUCGUGUGACAGAUGCAAUUGCCAGACCUUCCCUUGGUCUACAGGAAACCUGAAAGUGAUCAAUAUUUUAUUGGUACAGAUACGUAAAUUUACCUAGUGCUUUAAAACACCUCUAAGACCAAAUCCAGAGGUGCUGAGGAACUCUACUCUUAGGAGACUGAAGUAGAUGUUGUGUCUUUGGAGCUUCUUGAAACAGUGCUUUACAAAAUCAGAGCUCUUUGUUUCAGAUGCGGACAAUGGCAGUUCCAACCCAACCCAUGACCUCUGCCUUGAAACAUGGUGGGUCAGCCAGGAGGUGAGGAGGUGGGGUAAAGCAGAUGAGCUGGAUGAGGAAUACGGUGACAAACUAACUGGUGGGAAGAAGUUGCAGAACAGUGGAGAUCCCACCGCCAUUCAGCCAUGAUGGAGGACGUGUUUUCAGACACAGCCCACUCCUCCUGCCAAUUUGCUGGGGUUGCAGAAGAAAGAGGAGGAAGAGGAGAAGGAGGAGUGGCCAGUGGUGGUGGUUGCUCUGGCUGCAGCAGCUGUGGAGGCCCUGCUAAUACAGUAACUUCCUUAUCUCAGGAAACCCAAGUGGCUCCAACAAGAGAAACAGAGUAGGACAAUCCAGGAGAAGACAGCUGACUGCAGUGUUUACUAGACUGCGGAAUAGACAACUUACAUUGUUAAAAUUGAUCAGAACAUGUUCCACUGGAACUAAGCAGAUAAGAAUUACUUCAUUCUUUUUUGCCCCUGAGCACCCUAGGAGACCUGUGUUGGAUCUGGGCUUUGUCUGCUUGAAAAAGUGGAAGGGUUGACCUGCUGAAGGGAGAGCCACCAAAGCGCUCCAACAUUACUAUGGUCUUAUAAUGCCUGAGACAGAUCACAAGAUUAACUCUUAUAAUCAACAACAAGAUCAUCAAUUUGUACACUAUAUAAAUUAAAGUGCAUGCAUAUAAAUCUGCAACCUUGAAUAAUACUGUCACAGCUUCUGCUUUGUUUGUUUUGUGCAGCUUCUUGCUUUGACCAUUUCUUGCUUUGACCAUGAAUAUGCCUGCUGGGUCUGGUGCAUGAAAUCCCUUCCAAGUCCUCCCUUUUGCUUCACGAUGAUGCAGAAGGUGACUCUUCAGUAAGUAACACAAAAUGAUUUUAGACUUGUAUAAAUAAUAUACACGUUCUGUCUCCCUUUGAUUGAAUGAUGAAUAGCAUUUAGAGGGAUUGAUUUGCCGGCAGGAGCACUCGGCGGUGGCUGGAACAGCUUGUUCUGCCCUUGGAUCUCCCAAAUGAGUUCCGCAUCUCCCGCAGCUUGGUCUUCUGGUGCUCCUCCAGCACUGCACAAGUGCUUGGCCUUGGCUUGGUCACCUUGCCCCAACACACCCGUGUCUCAUGUCCCUGCCUGCCCAAAACGCCUUGCACGGCAGCUCGAUCUGCUGCUCAGAUGGCACCCUCUUUAUUUUCUUUGAUAUUUAACAGAAAAUAAUUCUGCAGUGAGCUUUAUUUAAGCAGCAGGAUAGAUUAAAAAAUGAAAUAUGUUUAGCAAGAUUUGGGGGAAAGGCUGGAGUAAUUAAUUUUCAAUAAUACCUGGCAUUUCUAGAACUCCUUUCAUCCCGAGAUCACCAAACAGUUUACAGACAUUAAUUAAUUAAAGCAUUAUGAUGCCCCAGUGUGGGGCCAUUGCCUGCAUGUCUGACUCAGACAAACUCUCCCCAAAUCCCCGGACGGGCAAGCGCUGUGCACUGCGGUGUCUGCACCAGAACUAUACCCAGGAGUAAAUACCGCUCAGCUUUCCUAAGGUUUGCACUCUGUGGCCCUACGUAAAUAUUUUCCAGUGAGUUUGAUUAUUUGUCUUUUAUUCUCUAUCAGGAAAGCCCCAAAUAUCUCAGUAAUAAAAUUUCCAGCGUGUGUGUGUGCAGGAGGACAGUUCUGAUGGUUAUUUUUUUGAUUCAGCUUCACAUUAAAACAUCUCUGCUCUUGAAACUCCCAUUGCAGGCUCAGAGCUGGACAUGUAUUUUAAGGUUUGAUUUUGGAGUGAGCUUGCUGGGCAUUUUUGACAGCACAGUAAAUUCCAUGGGAAGAGAAGAGGUGUUCAAUGUUCACCCAGAGGGAUGCGCAUAGCGUCACACUCCUGGAAAUCACCCUGAAGUACAAGUUCAGUGAAAUCUUAUGAAAGCUGUAGAUUAUACAAACUUUCAUCACUCCAAUGAUUUGAUUCAUGAACGCAUAAAUAGAUAGAUAGAUAGAUCCAUCAAGGAAAUCCCAAGGGAACAAUGCAAUGGUGUUUGUGAUUGGAAAAAUAUUAUAAAAGAGCUCACGUAGAGCCAAUAGUUAGGCAGUUUUGUAGCGCCAAGAUAAAUAGAGAAGAAAUAGCAUUUCAUGAUCACAUUUUUAAAGGAUGUUGGAAGUUACCAAAGCAGGGGAAAUCCUGUAGGGAUUGCCUAUACUCAGGUGUGUUCCCUUGUG
Molecule: long non-coding RNA, 3217 nt
Organism: Gallus gallus (chicken)
Lineage: Eukaryota; Metazoa; Chordata; Aves; Galliformes; Phasianidae
Exons: 4
Source: RefSeq, a predicted model, not a curated record